Molecule: long non-coding RNA, 938 nt
Filed under: Phoenix dactylifera (date palm)
Lineage: Eukaryota; Viridiplantae; Streptophyta; Magnoliopsida; Arecales; Arecaceae
Description: long non-coding RNA (PDAC_LNC005880)
Source: RNAcentral
UGCAUACUGAGUCAAUAAAUUCGUGUUUCAUGUCAACAAGUAUUUUCACGAAACAAUAACAUAACAUAAAACGUCCACCGACAUGCCGUGGUCAUGCUCUCAGAUGCUACUGUGAAGUCAUUUUCGGCCACUGGCGAGGCCAGCUCAGUUAUUAGGCGGCCACUGGCGGGGCUGGCUCAGUCAUUCUCGGCUACUGGUAAGGCCGGCUCAGUUGCAUUUGAUCAGUAGCUCUUAAGAGUUCGUAGACAAUCCUUCUUAUAGGUAGUACCUCAUGGAUGCUAUAGCGAAUUCAUUAUCAGUCACUGGUUGGGCCUGUUCNNNNNNNNNNNNNCCACUGGCGGGGCCGGCUCAGUCAUUAUCGGCCACUGGCAAGGCCGGCUCAGUUGCAUUCGACCCGUAGCAUCAAGAGUCCUUAGGUACCCCUUGCAAGAUGUGCAUAUCGCUAGAUGCAAUUCAUCAUCAUUCUUUACACUUGUAACACAAUUAUACUAAUGACAAUCAUGAUAAUGUAAUCCAAUUCAUCUUGCAUGCAUAAUAAAAUCUGCCUAAGCAUAAUGUAUGCACAAUCAUAAAUUGUGUGACUGACCCUCAGUCACUGGUUGGGCCUGUUCAGUUAUUAGUCAGCAUGCCACUCAUAUACAAGAUUCAUAAUUCAUAUCUUAGGAUAUAAUAUAAUCCAAUUAUUUCGUAGGCAUAAUGGAAUCUGCAUAAGCAUAAAGCAUACAUAAUCAUAACUUGUAAAACAUGCCACAUACAUUCCUAGUUCAUAACUCAUAAUUUAGGGUACAUGAUCUACAAUACAAUUAUGACAGGUUAAUUUCAUGCAUGAUCCAUAGAAGAUUAGGGCAGGUUACUUACAUGAUUCCGAAGGAGAUUGCAGUAUCCCGUGCUCCGGUGCCUCCACUCCAACACCUCCUCUUCCGGUUCACAGGUUCCUG